GUGCUUGCUUUGGCAGCACAUAUGCUAAAAUUGGAACAAUACAGAGAAGA
This 50-nucleotide small nuclear RNA is filed under the name Cervus elaphus hippelaphus. Lineage: Eukaryota; Metazoa; Chordata; Mammalia; Artiodactyla; Cervidae. The record is from RNAcentral.